RNAcentral lists this non-coding RNA (62 nucleotides) under unclassified sequences. The record is from RNAcentral.
CGGAAAUAGAGCAGCAGGCUGGUAGCCCCUGCGCCCGCAUGUCGGGGUCUUCCCUGCCUCGG